RNAcentral lists this ribosomal RNA (301 nucleotides) under uncultured bacterium. RNAcentral describes it as "partial 16S ribosomal RNA". It matches the Rfam family "Bacterial small subunit ribosomal RNA", at positions 509 to 809 of the family's 1533-position model. The record is from RNAcentral.
CAGUCGCCGCGGGAAUACAGAGGGUGCGAGCGUUAAUCGGAUUUACUGGGCGUAAAGCGUGCGUAGGCGGCUAAUUGAGUCGGAUGUGAAAUCCCCGAGCUUAACUUGGGAAUUGCAUUCGAUACUGGUUAGCUAGAGUGUGGGAGAGGAUGGUAGAAUUCCAGGUGUAGCGGUGAAAUGCGUAGAGAUCUGGAGGAAUACCGAUGGCGAAGGCAGCCAUCUGGCCUAAUACUGACGCUGAGGUACGAAAGCAUGGGGAGCAAACAGGAUUAGAUACCCCCGUAGUCCCUGUCUCUUAUAU